AAAAGAAACCAACAGGGAUUGCCCUAGUAACGGCGAGUGAAGCGGCAACAGCUCAAAUUUGAAAUCUGGCUCUUUCAGGGUCCGAGUUGUAAUUUGUAGAGGGUGCUUUGGAGUUGACUGUGGUCUAAGUUCCUUGGAACAGGACGUCGCAGAGGGUGAGAAUCCCGUAUGUGGCCGCCAGUCUUCGCCGUGUAAAGCCCCUUCGACGAGUCGAGUUGUUUGGGAAUGCAGCUCUAAAUGGGAGGUAAAUUUCUUCUAAAGCUAAAUAUUGGCCAGAGACCGAUAGCGCACAAGUAGAGUGAUCGAAAGAUGAAAAGCACUUUGGAAAGAGAGUCAAAAAGCACGUGAAAUUGUUGAAAGGGAAGCGCUUGCAGCCAGACUUGCCUGUAGUUGCUCAUCCGGGCUUUUGCCCGGUGCACUCUUCUAUAGGCAGGCCAGCAUCAGUCCUGGCGGUCGGAUAAAUGCCCGCUGAAUGUACCUCUCCUCGGGGAGGACUUAUAGCAGUGGGCGGCAUACGACCAGCCGGGAUUGAGGUCCGCGCAUCUGCUAGGAUGCUGGCGUAAUGGCUGUAAGCGGCCCGUCUUGAAACACGGACCAAGGAGUCUAACAUCUAUGCGAGUGUUUGGGUGUCAAGCCCGAGCGCGUAAUGAAAGUGAACGGAGGUGGGAACCCCUCGGGGUGCACCAUCGACCGAUCCUGAUGUCUUCGGAUGGAUUUGAGUAAGAGCAUAGCUGUUGGGACCCGAAAGAUGGUGAACUAUGCCUGAAUAGGGUGAAGCCAGAGGAAACUCUGGUGGAGGCUCGCAGCGGUUCUGACGUGCAAAUCGAUCGUCAAAUUUGGGCAUAGGGGCGAAAGACUAAUCGAACUAUCUAG
RNAcentral lists this ribosomal RNA (873 nucleotides) under Preussia sp. (in: ascomycete fungi). RNAcentral's name for it is "Preussia sp. (in: Fungi) partial large subunit ribosomal RNA". It matches the Rfam family "Eukaryotic large subunit ribosomal RNA", at positions 57 to 947 of the family's 3401-position model. The record is from RNAcentral. Lineage: Eukaryota; Fungi; Ascomycota; Dothideomycetes; Pleosporales; Sporormiaceae.